GGGGAGGUGGCCGAGUGGCUGAAGGCGCUCGCCUGCUAAGCGAGUAAGGGAGUAAUGCUCCCUUCGCGGGUUCAAAUCCCGCCCUCUCCG
RNAcentral lists this transfer RNA (90 nucleotides) under Chloroflexota bacterium. RNAcentral describes it as "tRNA-Ser". It matches the Rfam family "tRNA". Rfam says of the family: Transfer RNA (tRNA) molecules are approximately 80 nucleotides in length. Their secondary structure includes four short double-helical elements and three loops (D, anti-codon, and T loops). The record is from RNAcentral. Lineage: Bacteria; Bacillati; Chloroflexota. RNAcentral also lists the same sequence under 1 other name.